Long non-coding RNA from Ostrinia nubilalis (European corn borer), 395 nucleotides. RefSeq lists it as uncharacterized. Lineage: Eukaryota; Metazoa; Arthropoda; Insecta; Lepidoptera; Crambidae. The transcript has 2 exons. The record is from RefSeq and is a predicted model, not a curated record.
GUUUAUGUUACUUUUCAAAGAUCAACAACAUUUUAGAGUAGGUCACCUGUUCUUUACUAGGAUUUAAUAUCACAGGUUUAGGUCACUAAGAAGAAAUCAUCAUGACGCCAUAUUUUGGAGAUUUUAAAUUACAUUGCGUAUUACUUGUAGUGUACCUAGCUGUACUUUUCAAUUAUAAAAUUUUCCGUAUUGCAGUUCAAACUAAUUCAUCAUCUAGUUAGUGCUUCUACGAGUACCUAAUUGACAUAACUAGGAGUCGCGUGUGGCAACUACAUAAUUGUUAGCUUGCAAGUUGUCAGACAUAAUAACUUUUUUCUCUCAUAUAAAUUACUGGGAACUAACAACAAUCUACAAACUGUUGUAGGAAACUGAAAAAAAUAUAGACAAUAUCCAAA